GCAAACUUGGUCAUUUAGAGGAAGUAAAAGUCGUAACAAGGUUUCCGUAGGUGAACCUGCGGAAGGAUCAUUAUUGAAAUAAAACUUGGCAUAAACUGCUGCUGGCUUUAAAAGCAUGUGCACGUUUAUUCCGUUUUAUAACUCCUCCAGUGCACCUUAUGUAGGCUUUGAAUGAAUAAAUCUUGUCAUUUUUUCUUGACGACCCGAGACUGCUGUUUCAAAUUUUGUACGGCUGUUUCUUGUCUGUUCAUUCAAGGUUCUAUGUUUUUUAUUAUUAUAAAAUCACUGUAAAAGAGUGUUCCAUUUUAUUGGCCUUUUGUGCCUUUAAACAAUAAAAUACAACUUUCAACAACGGAUCUCUUGGCUCUCGCAUCGAUGAAGAACGCAGC
RNAcentral lists this unclassified non-coding RNA (389 nucleotides) under uncultured fungus. RNAcentral describes it as "partial contains small subunit ribosomal RNA, internal transcribed spacer 1, and 5.8S ribosomal RNA". The stretch from base 1 to 73 matches the Rfam family "Eukaryotic small subunit ribosomal RNA", at positions 1759 to 1831 of the family's 1831-position model. The record is from RNAcentral. Lineage: Eukaryota; Fungi.